RNAcentral lists this transfer RNA (84 nucleotides) under Opitutales bacterium. Its description in RNAcentral is "tRNA-Leu". It matches the Rfam family "tRNA". Rfam says of the family: Transfer RNA (tRNA) molecules are approximately 80 nucleotides in length. Their secondary structure includes four short double-helical elements and three loops (D, anti-codon, and T loops). The record is from RNAcentral. Lineage: Bacteria; Pseudomonadati; Verrucomicrobiota; Opitutia; Opitutales.
GCUCGAGUGGUGAAAUUGGUAGACACGUAUGAUUCAGGUUCAUAUGGCACUACUGCCGUAAGGGUUCGACUCCCUUCUCGAGCA